RNAcentral lists this ribosomal RNA (464 nucleotides) under uncultured bacterium. RNAcentral describes it as "partial 16S ribosomal RNA". It matches the Rfam family "Bacterial small subunit ribosomal RNA", at positions 29 to 507 of the family's 1533-position model. The record is from RNAcentral.
ACGCACGCUGGCGGCGUGCUUCACACAUGCAGGUCGAACGGAAAGGCCCCUUUGGGGGUACUCGAGUGGCGAACGGGUGAGUAACACGUGAGUAACCUGCCCUUGACUUCGGGAUAACUUCAGGAAACUGGGGCUAAUACCGGAUAGGAAUCCUUGCUGCAUGGUGGGGGUUGGAAAGCUUCGGCGGUUUUGGAUGGACUCGCGGCUUAUCAGCUUGUUGGUGGGGUAGUGGCUUACCAAGGCUUUGACGGGUAGCCGGCCUGAGAGGGCGACCGGCCACAUUGGGACUGAGAUACGGCCCAGACUCCUACGGGAGGCAGCAGUGGGGAAUAUUGCACAAUGGGCGGAAGCCUGAUGCAGCAACGCCGCGUGCGGGAUGACGGCCUUCGGGUUGUAAACCGCUUUCAGCAGGGGCGAAGCUUGUGGUGACGGUACCUGCAGAAGAAGCACCGGCUAACUACGUG